RNAcentral lists this unclassified non-coding RNA (430 nucleotides) under soil metagenome. Its description in RNAcentral is "partial contains 5.8S ribosomal RNA, internal transcribed spacer 2, and large subunit ribosomal RNA". The stretch from base 1 to 120 matches the Rfam family "5.8S ribosomal RNA", at positions 35 to 154 of the family's 154-position model. The record is from RNAcentral.
GAUGAAGAACGCAGCGAAAUGCGAUACGUAAUGUGAAUUGCAGAAUUCAGUGAAUCAUCGAAUCUUUGAACGCAUAUUGCGCUCUCUGGUAUUCCGGAGAGCAUGCUUGUUUGAGUAUCAGUAAACACCUCAACUCCCUUUUCUUUUUUGAAAUUGGAGCUGGACUUGAGUGAUCCCAACGCUUUCUUCCAAGAAAGUGGCGGGUUGCUUGAAAUGCAGGUGCAGCUGAACUUUUCUCUGAGCUAAAAGCAUAUCUAUUUAGUCUGCCUAAAAACAGAUUAUUACCUUUGCUGCAGCUAACAUAAAGGAGAUUAGUUCUUGUGCUGACUGAUGCAGGAUUCACAGAGACAGCUUCGGCUGGCCUUUGUAAACUCGAUCUCAAAUCAAGUAAGACUACCCGCUGAACUUAAGCAUAUCAAUAAGCGGAGGA